This 433-nucleotide ribosomal RNA is filed under the name uncultured bacterium. RNAcentral describes it as "partial 16S ribosomal RNA". It matches the Rfam family "Bacterial small subunit ribosomal RNA", at positions 29 to 507 of the family's 1533-position model. The record is from RNAcentral.
AGCGAACGCUGGCGGCAGGCUUAACACAUGCAAGUCGAGCGGGCACUUCGGUGUCAGCGGCAGACGGGUGAGUAACACGUGGGAACGUACCCUUUGGUUCGGAAUAACGCUGGGAAACUAGCGCUAAUACCGGAUACGCCCUUUUGGGGAAAGGCUUGCUGCCGAAGGAUCGGCCCGCGUCUGAUUAGCUAGUUGGUGGGGUAAUGGCCUACCAAGGCGACGAUCAGUAGCUGGUCUGAGAGGAUGAUCAGCCACACUGGGACUGAGACACGGCCCAGACUCCUACGGGAGGCAGCAGUGGGGAAUAUUGGACAAUGAGCGCAAGCCUGAUCCAGCCAUGCCGCGUGAGUGAUGAAGGCCUUAGGGUUGUAAAGCUCUUUUGUCCGGGACGAUAAUGACGGUACCGGAAGAAUAAGCCCCGGCUAACUUCAUG